Molecule: long non-coding RNA, 1635 nt
Filed under: Sinocyclocheilus grahami
Lineage: Eukaryota; Metazoa; Chordata; Actinopteri; Cypriniformes; Cyprinidae
Description: lncRNA (ENSSGRG00000000831.1)
Source: RNAcentral
AUGGAAACGAAAGUGUUCAUCUGUGUUCUGUGUGCCUGUUUGGUAACACUCUUAGUGCAUAAGACAUCACCAGCCCUAAUAAAUGAAGGCAUAUUUCUAUUAUACAAACCCUCUCAGCAAGGUCCUGAAGAUCCUGUUAAUGGAAGUAAUUACGAGCAGAUGACUAACCAUACCUUAAAUACAAAUACAACCCAAGAAAGUAUUCUGGAAAAGACCAUUGCGCCGAACCUUGCAGAGAACGAUGGGAAACAAAACUACACACAAGUCUCAAACACAACUCAAGGGUUACAAAAUCCCGAAGACAACUAAUGGUAAGUCAAAGUUUCAUGCUGUUCAAGUACAACACAUAAAAUUGCUUAGUUUUUUCAUGUUAUUUGUGAAAAGUUGUUUAACUCUCUUUUUUUUCCUCAGAUAAAAGACAAAAAAAGAACUGGAAAACAACCUGUUAAACAGUCAACCCUGAUGAAAUGGCAUGCUUUAAUGUUUGUUGAACAAAUUACCUUUGUAUUGUACACUGUGAAAAAUGCCAUACUCCAAUAGUCUCCAAUACUAAAAAAAAAUUUUUUUCUUGAAACUACAUAAAAACCCUUGUCAGUACAACAAAAUUACCCCAAAUGUUGCCCCAACUGAAGGCCCAUAUAGUGAAGUGUUUAACAGUUUUCUUUCACCAGAACGAUGGGAAACAAAACUACACACAAGUCUCAAGCACAACUCAAGGGUUACAAAAUCCCGAAGACAACUAAUGGUAAGUCAAAGUUUCAUGCUGUUCAAGUACAACACAUAAAAUUGCUUAGUUUUUUCAUGUUAUUUGUGAAAAGUUGUUUAACUCUCUUUUUUUCCUCAGAUAAAAGACAAAAAGAGAACUGGAAAACAACCUGUUAAACAGUCAACCCUGAUGAAAUGGCAUGCUUUAAUGUUUGUUGAACAAGUUACCUUUGUAUUGUACACUGUGAAAAAUGCCAUACUCCAAUAGUCUCCAAUACUAAAAAAAUUUUUUUUUCUUGAAACUACAUAAAAACCCUUGUCAGUACAACAAAAUUACCCCAAAUGUUGCCCCAACUAGUCAAACACAGUUGUCUGAACAAAGAAUUUCAUAUUGUUGAAAUGUUAAGGCUUUGUGAGUUCCCAGCAUGCAUUGCAGCAUGAAUAAAUUAUGCAGUUACUGUUAUAGGAUUAUUGUUUUGCUGUUUGCUGACUUCAUAAAAAAAUUUCUGUUGUUGUUUUAUCAUUAUUGUUAGUUAUUUAUUGUAUUGUGAUGUAAAGAGUUCAUCUUUUUAACAUUUGUUGGCUGUCACCAUUCUUAAGGUUAGUGUGUCUAGUUUUGAGGCCUAGAGUAUGCUCGCACAAUUUUACCCAUAAUGUGCAGGAGAUUGUCGCCGCCGCCGCCGCCUGUAAUACCAUGUUGUAGCUGGAGCAGAUCCAAUACGUAAUGGAUGUUUGACGAGCAUGCGCAGAUAUUGGAUGAUAGGGUUGUCAUUGAAGCUAGUAUUUAGUGUAAAUUAGACUGUAAUUUCGAGAUAUAGGUAUGUUUCAUAGAUUUACACAAAUUAUAUUAUACUGUGAUUUUAAACAAGUAGCGUAUUCAAACUUUAUUUAAGCGACGAUGGCUAGUUUUGAAUGAAAGGGUACGUAAGC